UACGAAGGGAGCUAGCGUUGUUCGGAAUCACUGGGCGUAAGCGCACGUAGGCGGAUGUGUCAGUCAGGGGUGAAAUCCCGGAGCUCAACUUCGGAACUGCCUUUGAUACAGCACGUCUUGAGUCCGAUAGAGGUGGGUGGAAUUCCUAGUGUAGAGGUGAAAUUCGUAGAUAUUAGGAAGAACACCGGUGGCGAAGGCGGCCCACUGGAUCGGUACUGACGCUGAGGUGCGAAAGCGUGGGGAGCAAACAGG
RNAcentral lists this ribosomal RNA (252 nucleotides) under uncultured bacterium. Its description in RNAcentral is "partial 16S ribosomal RNA". It matches the Rfam family "Bacterial small subunit ribosomal RNA", at positions 524 to 776 of the family's 1533-position model. The record is from RNAcentral.